Molecule: non-coding RNA, 1940 nt
Organism: Phascolarctos cinereus (koala)
Lineage: Eukaryota; Metazoa; Chordata; Mammalia; Diprotodontia; Phascolarctidae
Source: RefSeq, a predicted model, not a curated record
ACUGUUGCUACACACAAACACACAUACACACACACACACACACACACACACACACACACACACACACACUCCAGGAGCUUCACAAAGAGGCUGGCAGGGGAUCCUCAUUCUCCUCAAAGGGCCAGGUACUUUCAUUGUGGAGGGUGGCCUCUCACCACUGCCACAGAUUGGGAUGGCUCCUCCCAGAACAUCCACAUGAGGAAGCCAGCCCCCUCUUCACUUCCUGCCACGCUGCCUUCCUCAGAACUCUGCAUCUCGAGGCUCCCCACCCCCUCACUUCUUUAUCAGCUUCCUUUUAUGUGAGAGCUUUCCGAUUAGAAUAUAAGAUAUCUGAGGGCAGGGACUUGGUUUGGGUUUGUUUAGAUUUCUGGUGCUUAGUCCGGCACGUAGCAAGCACUUAAUGUUGGCUGACUGAUUUUCAGCUAGAUAGGCCCUUAGAGGAUUAUAGGAUUUAGAGCUAGAAGGGAAAAAUCCUUAACUCCAACCCCUUCCUUUAACAGCUGAGGAAACUGAGGCCCAGAGAGAAGUGAUUUGCCUGAGGUCCCAGGGCUAAGACCAGAUCUCAGAUCUUGUGUCUUCGAAGUCCAUUGCUUUCCCAGUAAGCCCAAGCCAUCCCUGCCCAAGAUCUGGUGAUUGAAAGGAAGAGUUCCCAUUACUCAGAUGGUUCCUCCCCAGGAGGCCCAGGGAAGAACCUGGCACGAGAGUCAGUAGGUGUGGCUUCCAAGCCCAGCUCCAACACAGUAGCCACCGGACUUCAUUUGCCUAAUCUGUGGUCUCCCCCAUCCUCCAAAGCUGUCUCUCCGUAUCACCGGAGGCCCAAUCCCCACUAGCUGUCUCCAAAUCGGUGAAGGCUGGGGAGAGGAAGACAGGGGAAGGAGAGUCUCCUCAACACCACCUCUUGUAAAAGGUAGCCCUCGCACCAUUUUUCCCAUUGUAUAGAGAGACAGUUCACGCUCAGAGAGGAAAUGACUUGCCCGGGUUACGCUGCUGAAAGUGACUGCUUUUUAAGCCGGAUUUCAACGCCUUGACUCCAGGUCCAGGGCUCUGCUCCUCCUUGUUCUCUACAAGUUUCCUUCGUCUUUUUGGGCUUUUCAGCCUGGGUGCCUAGAAUAGCACCAGACACAAAGGAGGAGCCUAAUCAAUGUUUGUGGCAAGAACUGGAACUGAAUGCAAAGAAAUUACUGUUAUCGAAAAGUUAGGAAAAGCUCCCUUCUUACACCUGCCAAGUGGUUUGCUUUCUCUAUCCGGAAUGAGUAAAGGAGGGGAGGGGGAGAGAUGACAUUUUCCUGAGGAAGCACGGCCAAACCCGACUUCUGGCUGAUUCCCCCAGCUGACCCUGAGGUGGGCCUUGGCUGUCACCCAUGCCCAGCAGGUGCUCCCUUCUUCUUUCCAAGCUCAGCUGGGGUGCCCCCUCCUCCAGGGAGCUUUCCCUGAUUCCCCACAGCUGGAGGAGGCAUUCUUCCCUCUGGGCUGUCCACGAGGCACAGUUUUCAGGAUGGGGCUACCCUCAACGGCAGAUACUCCUCAGGUCCACUCCCCUCCAAGGGAAUGGAAGGCCCUUGAAGGUGCCGGGCUGUGCAUCCCCAUGCCCUAAGCACAGUGCCCAGAUCAUUGGAGGCGCUCAGUCCAAGUUCGUGGAUUAAUAGAAGUUAUUUCAAAAAUUUAAGGUGCAGGAAAAAAAAAGAUGUAGGAUGAAGCUGGGAAAACCUUCCCGAGCCCCCUCAAAUCCGGUGCCCUCCCUUCAGUGGUGAGUUCCCAUUUAUCCUGUAUGUAACUUGGUUGUACAUACUGGUUUGCUUGUGUGCCAUUAGAUGUGUGCCAGGCACACAGCAGGAGCUUAAUAAAGGGUUAUCUGGCUAAUGGCAUGGAAGAGAGGAAGGGAGAGACAGCGAGUGAGCACACAAGUGAGAGGGGGCAAGAAGAAAGGAGAGAGGGACAGA